GAUGAAGAACGCAGUGAAAUGCGAUAACUAAUGUGAAUUGCAGAAUUCAGAGAAUCAUCGAGUCUUUGAACGCACAUUGCGCCCCCUGGUAUUCCGGGGGGCAUGCCUGUCCGAGCGUCAUUGCUGCCCUCAAGCACGGCUUGUGUGUUGGGCUCCGUCCCCCCGGGGACGGGCCCGAAAGGCAGCGGCGGCACCGAGUCCGGUCCUCGAGCGUAUGGGGCUUUGUCACCCGCUCUGUAGGCCCGGCCGGCGCCAGCCGACAACCCAUCAUCCUUUUCAGGUUGACCUCGGAUCAGGUAGGGAUACCCGCUGAACUUAAGCAUAUCAAUAAGCGGAGGA
Molecule: unclassified non-coding RNA, 339 nt
Filed under: soil metagenome
Description: partial contains 5.8S ribosomal RNA, internal transcribed spacer 2, and large subunit ribosomal RNA
Rfam family: 5.8S ribosomal RNA (bases 1-120)
Source: RNAcentral